GAUGAACGCUAGCGGCAGGCCUAAUACAUGCAAGUCGAACGGAUAUAUGUUUUUCGGAAUAUAUAUUAGUGGCGCACGGGUGAGUAACACGUACAUAACUUGCCCUCAAGCGGGGGAUAGCCCUUGGGAAACUGAGAGUAAUACCCCCAUAGAAUUAUUGGACGGCAUCGUUUGAUAAUUAAAACUACGGUGUUUGGGGAUAGAUGUGCGUCUGAUUAGCUAGUUGGUGAGGUAACCUGCUCACCAAGGCGACGAUCAGUAGGGGGCGUGAGAGCGUGGGCCCCCCCACACGGGUACUGAGACCACGGACCCGACUCCUACGGGAGGCAGCAGUAAGGAAGUAUUGGUCAAUGGAGGGGAAACCUCUGAACCAGCCAUGCCGCGUGAAGGAUGACGGCCCU
RNAcentral lists this ribosomal RNA (401 nucleotides) under uncultured bacterium. RNAcentral's name for it is "bacterial SSU rRNA". It matches the Rfam family "Bacterial small subunit ribosomal RNA", at positions 28 to 418 of the family's 1533-position model. The record is from RNAcentral.